ACAAAAGAUACUGCUGAAGUAGAGUAAACAGACUUUGGCCACUGGGUGAAUGUAAAAGAAGGACAAGAGAAAGCUGUUGAUGCCCAAGAAGAGAAAAACAUUCCACUGAAGGGUAGGAAAUGGCAGAAAAUUUGGAACCGGGGUUCUGAAUUGCAUGCUUCCCGGGAUGGCGCACCUUUCUCUUCUGACUGUCCAGUGAGGGAAGAAUGUGAUCUAGAAGGAAAGCCACAUGGAGCUUGGUUUACUUAUGAGGCCAAAACAGAAUUGCAUUUCUCAUUCCUUAAGAAACUAGAACUCUUAAGGAAUUGUUCUGAGGCUCUAACAAUAUUAACAUUUUUUGGGGACAGAGGAGCUCAUUUAAGGGAACCGUGACUGAUUAGAGAUUCCGUUUCCUCUGCCCUAACAAGGAAGACACAUUCCAGUGGAAUUUUACUCUGAACAAACUACCUCAUUGGAGCAAACAAAAUCCACCCUUCAUUCAGUCCAAGAUCAGCUUCCAUUUUCCAGGGCAACAUCACUCCAAACCUUUUUUGAUAGAAUCUACUUUUUUUUUUUUUAACUUUUGUUU
This 568-nucleotide non-coding RNA is filed under the name Pongo abelii (Sumatran orangutan). The record is from RNAcentral. Lineage: Eukaryota; Metazoa; Chordata; Mammalia; Primates; Hominidae.